AAUGUUGUUAACAUUUAGUGUUUGCAGUCUCGUGAUCAUGACUCUGGUGGACAUAGCACAUGGAAAACAAUGGCAUGUUCCCUUCAGGGAUUCAAGGCUCACAUUUCUCCUUCAGGACUCUUGGUGGAAAUUCAUAAAAAACAAAUUUUGCGAAUGUCAGCCCAUUUAUUUGGUGUGUAGCUAUUUUCCUAGAGUUCUCUACUUUAGUUUUUUCUUUGUUUCAUAUUCAGAAUUGUAUUUGUUUUGUAUUGUGAAUCACAUCAUAUGGCUUUCCUGCAGCUUUGCCAAUGAAACACUAAGCACUUUGAAUUCUGAUAAUUUAUGGUGAAUUUUUUUGGAAGUUGGUUCUCCAUGGAUGAGAAACAUUCCAUUGCUUAUGCCAAAGUGGAAAUUGUUGAAACAGCAGACAUGAAACCAUCCAACUUAAAUGGUUCAUUCCACACCGGACCACACCCAUGGGAUAAGAUUUUAUGUUUCACUGCUUUACCUCUCUCUUUCUGUUUUGGAUGGCAGAGAGCUACAUUGCACAAGGUAUUAGAAUGGUAAUGCAUAUCUUCCUUUUCUCUCUCGGUAAGACCACUAUGGAACUUUAGAGAGUGAACUGUUUGUUGAUUAGGGGGACUUUUGCAAUUCGUGAGCUGUUCAAUUUUCUUGAUAUAUUCAUUACGUGCUUAAUGGAGUUAGUUCAGUUCUGAUCUUCUUCUUCUUCUUCUUUACUUCUUGUGUGCAUGGCAUGUAUUAUGAUUCCGAGAAAGUUGUUACUAUUCCAUGCAUAUUUUAGCAUGAAGACAACACUUUAUGUAUGUAUAACUAUUUUGUCAACUUAAUAGUAUGUAAUUCUUUCAUAGUUGAUACAUACACAUUUUUUCUUUUCUUUUAAUGCGAUUUGUGUGAUGGGUAGUUGCAGGUGUUCGGUUUAUGUGAUUGAAUAAGUGAAGGUUGUUCUGUUGUGUUUUAUUUUUAUUUAUUUAUUUUGGUGGGGGUUUGCAUUUGAUGGGUGGUUGGGGCUUCAGUUUGUGUUUACUGGAUCUACUUUCUUAACUCUAGUUUUUUGUUUUUUGUUUUUUAUUAUGGUCCUAGUAUGUUAUUUUACGUUCUAGUUUCAGGGUUUUCACUUCUUUUCCUUAAAAAUAAAUAAAUUAGGUCAAGGAUUCUAUUGUUUCAAACUCUUCCUGGUUCCUGUAUUUUUUUGUUCAUUAAUUUUCUAUUUUAUGCUUUUAUGACCUCUAAAUUUCACAUUCAUAAUGUGUUAUCGUGUUUGAAGAUGGAAGGUAUUCAAUAUUCUGUUUCUUAUGCAUCAAUGGGGGUUGAUAAUAGAUUGCGGAUGGAUAAUUUCUGCAAUAAUUUUAGAGUUUAAGUAGUUCGAAUUACAGAAGAUGAGAUUGAGUUUGAUAUGAUUGGGAUUAAUGCUUCACUGGCCAACGCAUUUAGGAGGAUCCUCAUCACUAAGGUACAUCUUUAAAACUGGUCUGUUUUUCUUAUAUAUUUUCUUUAUAAUUUUCCAGAUAUAGUGUGCUGUCAAUUGAGUUUCAUCCAAAUUGAUUAGUUUGUCUGGUAUUCAUUUUUUUUUUUUUUUAUUACUUGGGCUGAUGUUUGGAAUCUUUGGAUAUUAAAGUUUACUUAUUUAUAUUCUUCCUUUUUUGCAGUGAUCUUUGUUGGUUUUUUUUUCAUCAUGAAAUUGAAAGUCCUUUUCCUCGUGAAAACUGGUCUGUUUAGCAGCUCUUUUCUCCUUUCGAUCACAAUUUUCAAUCAUUUAGUUUCUUUUUCCAACUUAAAAUAAUUGUGAUUAUGCAGGGAAACUGCCUUUGCGGGACUGAAUCUGAUGUGGAGGUUGUGGGGCCUGCCUGAUUUUGCAGGAUCUCAUUCCCAAAUGGGUACUAUAUAAGAAGCUAUCAUUUUGAAGACUAUGGAGCUGUUCAUUUUUUAUUUUUAUUUUUAAAGGCUAUGGAGUCAUCAAUCAGUCAUACCUAGAAAUUUGAAUCCCCAUUCAGGAGGGAUUCUCUAUCAUAUGUUUUCAGUGAAUUGAUGUUUGCUUGCAGUACUUUGUCAUGGUUAUUUCAAUACAGUGUGAGGACAUUUCAACAGCCAA
Magnolia sinica is the source of this 2089-nucleotide long non-coding RNA. RefSeq lists it as uncharacterized. The record is from RefSeq and is a predicted model, not a curated record. The transcript is spliced from 2 exons. NCBI's taxonomy places the organism in Eukaryota, Viridiplantae, Streptophyta, Magnoliopsida, Magnoliales, Magnoliaceae.